UCUGCCGUGAGGCGGAAUUUGCAGGAAGCUAGAGGCAAUCCCUCGGUCUGACGAACAGAAAUCAAAUAUAAGGCAUCCUGGACUGGAAGAGCUUGAAAAUCAAAGCAAAGUCUAAUACUGCCAGAAUAUCAGGAUGUAAAUGUGGCAGAUGGAUGAGGGGGAAGAUUAUCGA
Molecule: non-coding RNA, 172 nt
Organism: Paenibacillus sp. FSL H7-0357
Lineage: Bacteria; Bacillati; Bacillota; Bacilli; Caryophanales; Paenibacillaceae
Source: Rfam